Bemisia tabaci is the source of this 682-nucleotide non-coding RNA. The record is from RefSeq and is a predicted model, not a curated record. NCBI's taxonomy places the organism in Eukaryota, Metazoa, Arthropoda, Insecta, Hemiptera, Aleyrodidae.
UGGCUAUCUUUUUUAUUUUCUGGCAGAAUUCGUGGCGAGAAAGGCCCAUUGAUAACGGGAGAAAAAAGUGGAAGUGAAAGAAGUGAGUUGGGAUCCCGACACUUCCGUAAUUCCACCUAUCGCCAAAGCCGCACCGGUCGGAGCGGAGUAACGAGGAAAAAAAAGUGAAACAGUGAUGAGCGAAUAUGACGAUCAGUUGAAGCAUGCUGUUCCAACCGCGCUCUCGCUCUACAAGUGCAGCCUCCCGGUGUGAUGUGUCAAGUUCGCGUGAAUAAGUGACGUAUUUCAAUCCCAGACUGUGCGUCAUAUGGACUGCAUCCUGCAAUACGGGUCUACAGUUCCUGGCUCAGUUCAGAAACAACGAAUGGUUGAACUUUAAUUGCGCGUAUAAAAUGUAAACCAAAUUAAAUAAUAAGUGAAACGGAUUUCAUCGAUAGUACAACUGCGUCACACCACGGCUUAUAUCGCCCUCUUCUUGAACGUAUUCGUUGUCGCCGCCAUUAUCUGACGAGGAGGAAGAGGAUGAGCCAGACGGCGGCUGACUGUGGAAAACUUGUGUCAAACCAUUAAUUUUAUGCACGUCAUAACCAAUUCCCAUUGUUCGUUUUUUGAGCAGAAAAUGACCCUGUAAAAAUAUAACAAGAACCCGAAUAAAGCGCAAUGAAGCAUCUGCAUACCCUCA